Molecule: transfer RNA, 60 nt
Filed under: Ictidomys tridecemlineatus (thirteen-lined ground squirrel)
Lineage: Eukaryota; Metazoa; Chordata; Mammalia; Rodentia; Sciuridae
Description: Spermophilus tridecemlineatus (thirteen-lined ground squirrel) tRNA
Rfam family: tRNA
About the family: Transfer RNA (tRNA) molecules are approximately 80 nucleotides in length. Their secondary structure includes four short double-helical elements and three loops (D, anti-codon, and T loops).
Source: Rfam by way of RNAcentral
UGUGGCUCAGAGGUAGAGUGCUUGCCUAGCAUGCAUGAGAACUGAGUUUGAUUCUCAGCA